GGGAGAGAUCACAAUAAAGAUAUUAAAAUGGGUUCACCCUAAACUGUUGUAUUCUCUUUUGUUGCAACAUCGGUUUUUAAUGAUUUUGGUCACCUCUUCUCUAGCACAAAGGUCACAAUAAACAUUAGCCAUACAGACUUCGACUGCACACAGGAACGGUCGAAAGGCACAUCUUUUGAUUUGAAAAUUAUCAGUGGGAAGCAGUGGUAGGCAGCAUUUCAGUGCUGAAAACUGAGACAUUUGAUAGGAUGAACAAAAUGCUUUUUCUCUUGUUUAGCAGCCACGAAACAGAAGUCCAUCUUUCUGUAUAGAAAGCUUCUGACAAUCUGUUAUACUGGUGCUAUAAGUAAAAUAAGUGUUUAAUAUUUUCUUUUUUUUUUUUUUUUUUUCCAAUCUUUCCAGAAAGUCACUCCUAUUGGAAUAAAAGGAAAAUCAGUUCACACAAAAUAUCCUUGGGUAACUGAGCACCAUGCUGAUACUUCUGCAGUUAUAACCUCUGAUAGACUGGGAGAUGAGAACCCUGACAGUUACACAGAAGAGGCCCAAGGAAAGCACAGGGGAAGUGAAGAGUUCGGGGAAACUGUGGCCUCCUGCCUCUGCAGGACCCAUGAUGGGGCCCUCAUACACCAAAGAGGACAGCGUGGGAAAGUGGAGGAGGCGGGCACCUUUCUCAAGCAUCAUGAAAGUAAACCUGACAAAAAUUAGACCCUUGUAUAGCAAGAUAAGAAGUACUUACUUUGCUUUGCACAUGCCAUUUCAGAACAGAUUUGGAGGCACCAUCUGGAGGGAAGGAUGACACAGAUGCCAUGGAGCGUCCAGUUUCCUUCGUAGGUAAUUCCCGCAAAAGGAUGAUUUGGUCCUGAGUCAUUGCCACUGGGGAUGAAAAUACAAAGUGAUACAACACACAAACAUGUUCAAGCCUACAGAUUUAAUUGCUUCAAAGAAAAAUGUACUCAGCUAAGAUGACGACCCAGUGCAAUACAAUGGUUCCCAUGACUACUCAUUCAUUUCACAACAGCAAUCUGAGCAAACCAGAGACAAUACCCUGUGUCCCCAAAUCCCCCCUAAACUGGUCACCAAAACUAAAAAUGCCUAUCCAAUCUUUCCUCACAAAUAUGGGAUAUUUUUAAUGUCUGUGCCCAGCCACAGGAUCCCUAUUUCACUUAGCUGAUACAAAUCAUAUAUUUUCUUGUCAAUCACAUGCCACAUCAAGUAAAAGGCCAAAUCACCCCUGGAGCAUCUUCUCAUUUCAGAAAUGUCAGUGACUACCUCAAUUGCUCCUAUAAUCCAGACAGAUCACCCUUAAUUCAUUCUACUCUGUUUUCAAGCAGAAAAAUUUGGCCUCCCUGGAACAGCAAGGCAGCAUCUUUGAAAACAAGGCACUAGUAACCAUACAGAAACAACAGCAC
RNAcentral lists this long non-coding RNA (1409 nucleotides) under Gallus gallus (chicken). RNAcentral's name for it is "lncRNA (ENSGALG00010014365.1)". The record is from RNAcentral. Lineage: Eukaryota; Metazoa; Chordata; Aves; Galliformes; Phasianidae.